This is a non-coding RNA of Microcebus murinus (gray mouse lemur), 851 nucleotides long. The record is from RefSeq and is a predicted model, not a curated record. Lineage: Eukaryota; Metazoa; Chordata; Mammalia; Primates; Cheirogaleidae.
UUAAAAUAGGCCUGUAUGUGAAGUCUGUACAUGGUGGAGACCUGGAUAGUGUAAAGUUUAAGCUCACAGGCUCUAGAUUGGAUUCACUUGGGUUCAAAUGCCAUCACAGGCUGUAGAUUGGGUUUAUGUAGGUUCAAAUCUCAGCUCAUAACUGAGCUCACUGUCAGUCUUUGGGCAAGGUUUCCUCAUCUCUAAAAAGGCAGUCAUGAUAGGACCCGGAUUGAAACAAGAUGGUGGGCUCAUGGUGAGGAGCUGUCAAGGAAUGAAAAUUGGUGUGCCUAGAAGCAGAUUUUAAAAGCAGUUCUUCUUUAAAACAUCUUUUUUCAUACUACCUGAUAAGCAUCUUGAACACCAUGGCCACAGCAGCAGUAAAAUGGAUGAUAUCAAAGAGACCCAUCUUGAAACAUUUAUUUCCAAUCCAAAAUGGAGCUUUAUCUUGUGUUUGUCAUAAAUCUACAUAUUCUUCUCUACCAGAUGACUAUAAUUGCAAAGUUGAGCUUGCUUUGACAUCCGAUGGCAGGACGAUAGAAUGCUACCACCCUUCGGUGGACAUUCCAUAUGAACACACAAAACCUAUCCCUCGACCAGAUCCUGUGCAUAAAUAAUAAUGAAGAAACACAUAAUCACAUGCUGAAAACCAGAUUAGCAGAAAAAAGUGAAAACCUUGAGCAAGGACCCAUGAUAGAACAACUUAGCAAAAUGUUCUUUACUACUAAGCACCGUUGGUAUCCUCGUGGACAGUAUCACACUUGUCAUAAGAAACUGAACCCUCCAAAGGACAGAUAAUAUUGAGGUUCUUCAGGGAAUCAGAGAGAAAUGUCCCUCAUUUGCCAUUUGGGGAAAUGUAAUCU